Molecule: ribosomal RNA, 497 nt
Filed under: uncultured bacterium
Lineage: Bacteria
Description: partial 16S ribosomal RNA
Rfam family: Bacterial small subunit ribosomal RNA
Source: RNAcentral
GAUGAACGCUGGCGGCGUGCCUAAUACAUGCAAGUCGAGCGAACAGACGAGGAUCUUGCUCCUCUGACGUUAGCGGCGGACGGGUGAGUAACACGUGGAUAACCUACCUAUAAGACUGGGAUAACUUCGGGAAACCGGAGCUAAUACCGGAUAACAUGUUGAACCGCAUGGUUCAACAGUGAAAGACGGUCUUGCUGUCACUUAUCGAUGGAUCCGCGCCGCAUUAGCUAGUUGGUAAGGUAACGGCUUACCAAGGCAACGAUGCGUAGCCGACCUGAGAGGGUGAUCGGCCACACUGGAACUGAGACACGGUCCAGACUCCUACGGGAGGCAGCAGUAGGGAAUCUUCCGCAAUGGGCGAAAGCCUGACGGAGCAACGCCGCGUGAGUGAAGAAGGUCUUCGGAUCGUAAAACUCUGUUAUUAGGGAAGAACAAAUGUGUAAGUAACUAUGCACGUCUUGACGGUACCUAAUCAGAAAGCCACGGCUAACUACGUG